Molecule: transfer RNA, 73 nt
Filed under: Marmota monax (woodchuck)
Lineage: Eukaryota; Metazoa; Chordata; Mammalia; Rodentia; Sciuridae
Description: tRNA.Ala
Rfam family: tRNA (bases 9-67)
About the family: Transfer RNA (tRNA) molecules are approximately 80 nucleotides in length. Their secondary structure includes four short double-helical elements and three loops (D, anti-codon, and T loops).
Source: RNAcentral
GUGGGCACGUGGCUCAGUGGUAGAGUGUCUGCCUAGCAUGCACAAGACCCUGGGUUCGAUCCCUAGCACCACA